UACGGGGGGGGUAAGCGUUGUUCGGAAUUACUGGGCGUAAAGGGCUCGUAGGCGGCCAACUAAGUCGGACGUGAAAUCCCUCAGCUUAACUGGGGAACUGCGUCUGAUACUGGAUGGCUUGGAUUUGGGAGAGGGAUGCGGAAUUCCAGGUGUAGCGGUGAAAUGCGCAGAUAUCGGGAGGAACACCAGUAGCGAAGGCGGCUCGCUGGGCCACACCUGACGCUGAGACGCGAAAGCUAGGGGAGCAAACAGG
Molecule: ribosomal RNA, 253 nt
Filed under: uncultured bacterium
Lineage: Bacteria
Description: partial 16S ribosomal RNA
Rfam family: Bacterial small subunit ribosomal RNA
Source: RNAcentral